UACGUAGGGUGCGAGCGUUAAUCGGAAUUACUGAGCGUAAAGCGUGCGCAGGCGGCUUUGCAAGACAGAUGUGAAAUCCCCGGGCUCAACCUGGGAACUGCAUUUGUGACUGCAAGGCUAGAGUACGGCAGAGGGGGAUGGAAUUCCGCGUGUAGCAGUGAAAUGCGUAGAUAUGCGGAGGAACACCAAUGGCGAAGGCAAUCCCCUGGGCCUGUACUGACGCUCAUGCACGAAAGCGUGGGGAGCAAACAGG
This 253-nucleotide ribosomal RNA is filed under the name uncultured bacterium. Its description in RNAcentral is "partial 16S ribosomal RNA". It matches the Rfam family "Bacterial small subunit ribosomal RNA", at positions 524 to 776 of the family's 1533-position model. The record is from RNAcentral.